GACGAACGCUGGCGGCGUGCCUAAUACAUGCAAGUAGAACGCUGAAGAGAGGAGCUUGCUCUUCUUGGAUGAGUUGCGAACGGGUGAGUAACGCGUAGGUAACCUGCCUGGUAGCGGGGGAUAACUAUUGGAAACGAUAGCUAAUACCGCAUGAUAUUAAUUGUCGCAUGAUAAUUAAUUGAAAGAUGCAAUUGCAUCACUACCAGAUGGACCUGCGUUGUAUUAGCUAGUUGGUGAGGUAACGGCUCACCAAGGCGACGAUACAUAGCCGACCUGAGAGGGUGAUCGGCCACACUGGGACUGAGACACGGCCCAGGCUCCUACGGGAGGCAGCAGUAGGGAAUCUUCGGCAAUGGGGGGAACCCUGACCGAGCAACGCCGCGUGAGUGAAGAAGGUUUUCGGAUCGUAAAGCUCUGUUGUAAGAGAAGAACGGGUGUGAGAGUGGAAAGUUCACACUGUGAC
This 463-nucleotide ribosomal RNA is filed under the name Streptococcus sanguinis. RNAcentral describes it as "bacterial SSU rRNA". It matches the Rfam family "Bacterial small subunit ribosomal RNA", at positions 28 to 473 of the family's 1533-position model. The record is from RNAcentral. Lineage: Bacteria; Bacillati; Bacillota; Bacilli; Lactobacillales; Streptococcaceae.